Molecule: ribosomal RNA, 302 nt
Filed under: uncultured bacterium
Lineage: Bacteria
Description: partial 16S ribosomal RNA
Rfam family: Bacterial small subunit ribosomal RNA
Source: RNAcentral
GCAGCCGCCGCGGUAAAACGGAGGGGGCUAGCGUUGUUCGGAAUUACUGGGCGUAAAGCGCACGUAGGCGGCUUUGUAAGUUAGAGGUGAAAGCCCGGAGCUCAACUCCGGAAUUGCCUUUAAGACUGCAGAGCUAGCAGGUGAGAGAGGUGAGUGGAAUUCCGAGUGUAGAGGUGAAAUUCGUAGAUAUUCGGAAGAACACCAGUGGCGAAGGCGGCUCACUGGCUCAUACUGGACGCUGAGGUGCGAAAGCGUGGGGAGCAAACAGGAUUAGAUACCCCGGUAGUCCCUGUCUCUUAUAA